Molecule: transfer RNA, 71 nt
Filed under: Ornithorhynchus anatinus (platypus)
Lineage: Eukaryota; Metazoa; Chordata; Mammalia; Monotremata; Ornithorhynchidae
Description: tRNA-Gly (GCC) (tRNA-Gly-GCC-17-1)
Rfam family: tRNA
About the family: Transfer RNA (tRNA) molecules are approximately 80 nucleotides in length. Their secondary structure includes four short double-helical elements and three loops (D, anti-codon, and T loops).
Source: Rfam by way of RNAcentral
GCAAUGGUGGUUCAGGGAUAGAAUUCUUGCCUGCCAUGUGAGAGGCCUGGGUUCGAUUCCCAGCCAGUGCA